RNAcentral lists this ribosomal RNA (751 nucleotides) under uncultured Halorubrum sp. Its description in RNAcentral is "bacterial SSU rRNA". It matches the Rfam family "Archaeal small subunit ribosomal RNA", at positions 118 to 868 of the family's 1478-position model. The record is from RNAcentral. Lineage: Archaea; Methanobacteriati; Methanobacteriota; Halobacteria; Halobacteriales; Haloferacaceae.
GGAGCACCAUACCCUCGGGAAACUGAGGCUAAUAGUGCAUCCCGCACUCACCCUGGAAUGGCGAGUGCGUCAAACGCUCCGGCGCCGAAGGAUGUGGCUGCGGCCGAUUAGGUAGACGGUGGGGUAACGGCCCACCGUGCCGAUAAUCGGUACGGGUCAUGAGAGUGAGAACCCGGAGACGGAAUCUGAGACAAGAUACCGGGCCCUACGGGGCGCAGCAGGCGCGAAACCUUUACACUGCACGCCAGUGCGAUAAGGGGACUCCGAGUGCGAGGGCAUAUAGUCCUCGCUUUUCACCACCGUAAGGUGGUGGUGGAAUAAGUGCUGGGCAAGACCGGUGCCAGCCGCCGCGGUAAUGCCGGCAGCACGAGUGAUGACCGCUAUUAUUGGGCCUAAAGCGUCCGUAGCUGGCCGCGCAAGUCUAUCGGGAAAUCUGCUCGCCUAACGAGCAGGCGUCCGGUGGAAACUGUGUGGCUUGGGACCGGAAGAUCCAGAGGGUACGUCCGGGGUAGGAGUGAAAUCCCGUAAUCCUGGACGGACCGCCGAUGGCGAAAGCACGUCGCGAGAACGGAUCCGACAGUGAGGGACGAAAGCUAGGGUCUCGAACCGGAUUAGAUACCCGGGUAGUCCUAGCCGUAAACAAUGCCUGCUAGGUGUGGCUCCCACUACGAGUGGGUGCUGUGCCGUAGGGAAGCCGCUAAGCAGGCCGCCUGGGAAGUACGUCCGCAAGGAUGAAACUUAAAGGAAUUGG